Molecule: long non-coding RNA, 497 nt
Organism: Aethalodelphis obliquidens (Pacific white-sided dolphin)
Lineage: Eukaryota; Metazoa; Chordata; Mammalia; Artiodactyla; Delphinidae
Exons: 2
Source: RefSeq, a predicted model, not a curated record
UCUGCGCUUCCACUGCAGGGGGCGUGGGUUCGAUCUCUGGUUGGGGAAAUUCCGCGUGCUGCGAAGUGAGGCAAAAAAAAAAAAAAAAGAUAAAGGCGAUCUGGUCUUGAUUCAGAGGAGAGGAGCCCUCAAGACCAGCUCCACGCAAUAAAAAGUGAAUUCAAUGAGUGGCUCAGUUCUCACCGGCGAGGAGGGGCCCUACGGGUGGUGCUGCUGUGGACCCUUGCUGGGGUUCGGGAGCCUGUUAGAAAUGCAGAACGCCAACCAAAGACUCACUGGCCACCCUGGUGAUCCCAGGGCACCUUUGGGUUCCCAAGCCUGGGGCCGGAGGCCUCUUGGUGGUGGGGAGAUAUACCCAGGAAAUGUCUUUUUUUUAAAAAAAUACAUAUUUUAACAUUUUAAUUGUUAAAUGUAGCAUGCAGAAAAGAGCACAGAUUUGUCAUGGUCCUUUUUUUUAAUAUGUUUAUUUAAUGUUCUAAAUAAAGAAAGAUUAAACU